GCCGGGCGUAGAGGCGCAUGCCUAUAAUCCCAGCAGCUCAGGAGGCUGAGGCAGGAGAGUCGCAAAUUCAAAGCCAGCCUCAGCAAUUUAGAGAGGCCCUAAGCAACUCAGUGAGACCCUGUCUCUA
This 127-nucleotide small RNA is filed under the name Marmota monax (woodchuck). Lineage: Eukaryota; Metazoa; Chordata; Mammalia; Rodentia; Sciuridae. The record is from RNAcentral.